GUGCACGCUGGCGGUAGGCCUCACCCCUUCCAGUCGCACGGCAGCACAGUAAGAGCUUGCUCUUACGGGUGGCGAGUGGCGGACGGGUGAGGAAUACAUCGGAAUCUACUUUUUCGUGGGGGAUAACGUAGGGAAACUUACGCUAAUACGGCAUACGACUUACGGGUGAAAGCAGGGGAUCUUCGGACCUUGCGCGAUUGAAUGAGCCGAUGUCGGAUUAGCUAGUUGGCGGGGUAAAGGCCCACCAAGGCGACGAUCCGUAGCUGGUCUGAGAGGAUGAUCAGCCACACUGGAACUGAGACACGGUCCAGACUCCUACGGGAGGCAGCAGUGGGGAAUAUUGGACAAUGGGCGCAAGCCUGAUCCAGCCAUACCGCGUGGGUGAAGAAGGCCUUCGGGUUGUAAAGCCCUUUUGUUGGGAAAGAAAAGCAGCAGGUUAAUACCCCGCUGUUCUGACGGUACCCAAAGAAUAAGCACCGGCUAACUUCGUG
Molecule: ribosomal RNA, 491 nt
Filed under: uncultured bacterium
Lineage: Bacteria
Description: partial 16S ribosomal RNA
Rfam family: Bacterial small subunit ribosomal RNA
Source: RNAcentral